Molecule: long non-coding RNA, 2209 nt
Filed under: Triticum aestivum (bread wheat)
Lineage: Eukaryota; Viridiplantae; Streptophyta; Magnoliopsida; Poales; Poaceae
Description: long non-coding RNA (TAES_LNC016507)
Source: RNAcentral
UUGUUUCAUUUGAGCAAUCCUUUUUACAGCUGUGUAUGCCUGCUUAAUUAUCACUCCAUAAGACAAAAUGGCACUCUGUAUUUCUAGCCAUCAAUUCAAACCUACAGAUGUAGCAAAGCUCCAAUAAUACACUAUACAUACACAAUGUUAGGAAUCCCCGCCUCCUCUUUCCCUCGACCUCCCCCAAUCCCCGCCUCCUCCCCUGACCCCCUCAUUCCUUCUGGCCGUCACCGCCUCCUUCUCUCUCUCCUCCGCGAGCAACAAGGCCAAGGCUGAGGAGAGGCCGACGAUGGGGAACAAAAGGAGUGGGGGCAGCUCUCGUUCCCGCCGCAGCGAGCGCGCGCACCUGUCCCCGGCCCUGUGGAGGCGGCCAUACCGGACCAUCGCGUCCUAGAGUCGCGCGUCGAACCAGACCACCGCCGUCGUGCCCCAGCAUCUCAAGCUCCACCAGCGGCUCACGCGCUCGCCCUUGCCACUCUACCGGUGGAGAGCUCCUCCAUGGCAGCAACAACCGGAUCCCGGCUGACCCAGAUCCAAGCGCUUCUAUUUAGUACUCAAAACCUUAUGUUCAUUUAUGUACCUAAGGAGUAGAAAAGCACACCAUACAUACACAAUGUUAGGAAUCAGGACCAGUAGACUUAUGCAGAAAUUGGGAGCUCAGAACAAACUAUAGCAAGAAUAUGGUUUGAAUAGUAGAGCAAGAUAGCUAUAGAGUUUAUUGCACCUGUUGAUCUUCUCAUAGUCCAACUAAGAACUACACUAACUAAUUCUAUGCUACCCCUUUCCCUAAAUAUUGUUAAUACCUACAUCCAGCUCAUAUAACCAAUAUGAAAUUGCUGUGCAGACGACAGUACACACACGACAUGCAGCCAACACUUAUAUCAAAUGGUGGAGCAAUGCUGCUACAUGCAUCAGAUUGUGCGAUUUUCAGCAUCAUUCAAAAAUCGGCUGUGCACUAUCGUGUGUAUAGCAAGGUUCUAACUCAUAUAAUGAUGGAAACCACACUUACUGAAUUAUUUUCAGCAGACACGGUUAUGACUUUGUUCAUGCUAACCCAUGACAAUGUGCUCUGAAAUCAUACAGAACUAACAACUCACCAUCACAAAACAAAUAUUUACUCUUCUUUUAAUAGCAUAACCAGACAAAAACAAAGGAGGACACAAACUUACAUUCACAGCCAACCGAACAUUAGUAUCUGGCUAACGCCUAAUACUAAUAAUAUGAUGGGAUAUUACAUGAUUGGAAAUUAUGACCAACAAGUAUUCACAAAUAAUAUUGAUAUUGUAUUUCACUAUUUCUCAAAAGAAUUAGAAAGAUAAAAUUAAGCAAGCCUGAUUAUAAGUGAGUGUGUGCCAAUGCUUCGUGAGGUUCUGCCUGAGCAUCAACAUGAGAAAUGAGUGUGAGCAAGUACCACUGCUGGCACUGCUGGCCUUAGAGUCGUGCUGCCCACCUCAUGGGAUGUGCACUAACAUCUACUUUCUAUCUCAAACCGCCUCCUAGGAGGAUUGUAAUUACAAACUCUCUCUCUUUUCAAUGGAAUGAAACGCAUGGGUCCCCUGCGUUUUCUCGAAAAAAAAAGAAAUGAGUGUGAGCAAGUACCAAUAACUUCUGCUUCUUACAAUUUCUGAGGAUCGUACUUCAGGUAGCCAUCCUAUUUGAUUUUGAACAUUUGCCAAGAAAAGAAAAUCAUCAUGGUUAGAGCCAAGCUAGUCUCGCUCGCAUACUUGCACAUAUGGGAUGCGAAGCAAAGAUCCCAGCACAAUAAAUUCGAUGCACAGUUCUACCAGUAACUUGGCACAUAUGGGAUGCGAAGCAAAGAUCCUAGUACAAUAGAUUGUAACUAAUGGGUCUCAUUGUCAGGAAACUCAUGAUUCCCAAUAACUAACCACAACAUUAAUUUCUGUAGUAACAUAACACAGGUUGUACCUUCAAAUGUUGAUUUUAGUCGCUUUCUUUCAGAUUUUCGCGCAUUGACCAGCUUAUCCCCCUGAAAAUAAAGUAGAAUAUCAGAUUAGCAGCUAUAUAUAUUGCAAGCAUUCAUUUUUUUACUGUAAAAGAGAUAAUAAAGUGUUUACUUCAAGAAAAUACAGCAGGCGAAGCAAAAAUGUACACCUAAAAGGUGAACAAAAAAUGAAAUAUCAAUCCUAAUUAGGGUGUGCAGGACCAAAUAAUUAAUAUGCCACUCUGGGAAGAAAACUUCAAAAUUUAC